UGCAGUCGACGACUCUGGUAUUGAUUGGUGCUUGCAUCAUGAUUUACAUUUGAGUGAGUGGCGAACUGGUGAGUAACACGUGGGAAACCUGCCCAGAAGCGGGGGAUAACACCUGGAAACAGAUGCUAAUACCGCAUAACAACUUGGACCGCAUGGUCCGAGUUUGAAAGAUGGCUUCGGCUAUCACUUUUGGAUGGUCCCGCGGCGUAUUAGCUAGAUGGUGGGGUAACGGCUCACCAUGGCAAUGAUACGUAGCCGACCUGAGAGGGUAAUCGGCCACAUUGGGACUGAGACACGGCCCAAACUCCUACGGGAGGCAGCAGUAGGGAAUCUUCCACAAUGGACGAAAGUCUGAUGGAGCAACGCCGCGUGAGUGAAGAAGGGUUUCGGCUCGUAAAACUCUGUUGUUAAAGAAGAACAUAUCUGAGAGUAACUGUUCAGGUAUUGACGGUAUUUAACCAGAAAGCCACGGCUAACUACGUGCCAGCAGCCGCGGUAAUACGUAGGUGGCAAGCGUUGUCCGGAUUUAUUGGGCGUAAAGCGAGCGCAGGCGGUUUUUUAAGUCUGAUGUGAAAGCCUUCGGCUCAACCGAAGAAGUGCAUCGGAAACUGGGAAACUUGAGUGCAGAAGAGGACAGUGGAACUCCAUGUGUAGCGGUGAAAUGCGUAGAUAUAUGGAAGAACACCAGUGGCGAAAGCGGCUGUCUGGUCUGUAACUGACGCUGAGGCUCGAAAGUAUGGGUAGCAAACAGGAUUAGAUACCCUGGUAGUCCAUACCGUAACGAUGAAUGCUAAGUGUUGGAGGGUUUCCGCCCUUCAGUGCUGCAGCUAACGCAUUAAGCAU
RNAcentral lists this ribosomal RNA (843 nucleotides) under Lactiplantibacillus plantarum. RNAcentral describes it as "bacterial SSU rRNA". It matches the Rfam family "Bacterial small subunit ribosomal RNA", at positions 56 to 867 of the family's 1533-position model. Lineage: Bacteria; Bacillati; Bacillota; Bacilli; Lactobacillales; Lactobacillaceae. The record is from RNAcentral.